RNAcentral lists this ribosomal RNA (264 nucleotides) under uncultured bacterium. Its description in RNAcentral is "partial 16S ribosomal RNA". It matches the Rfam family "Bacterial small subunit ribosomal RNA", at positions 793 to 1055 of the family's 1533-position model. The record is from RNAcentral.
GUCCACGCCGUAAACGAUGAAUACUAGGUGUCGGGGCCGUAGAGGCUUCGGUGCCGCAGCCAACGCAGUAAGUAUUCCACCUGGGGAGUACGUUCGCAAGAAUGAAACUCAAAGGAAUUGACGGGGACCCCGCACAAGCGGUGGAGCAUGUGGUUUAAUUCGAAGCAACGCGAAGAACCUUACCUGGUCUUGACAUCCUUCUGACCGGUCCUUAACCGGACCUUUCCUUCGGGACAGGAGAGACAGGUGGUGCAUGGUUGUCGU